CCCCUCUCAGGAUUGCACCUGGUGAGUUUCUAGUACUCUAGCGGUCUCAGCUAUGGGAGGAAGAGUCUAGCAGAGGCCAUUCCAUUCCUAGCUUGGGCAGUGGCUAGCGAGUGAAAGGCAAUCUGCUACAAGU
Ornithorhynchus anatinus (platypus) is the source of this 133-nucleotide small nucleolar RNA. The record is from RefSeq and is a predicted model, not a curated record. NCBI's taxonomy places the organism in Eukaryota, Metazoa, Chordata, Mammalia, Monotremata, Ornithorhynchidae.